This 283-nucleotide ribosomal RNA is filed under the name unidentified marine bacterioplankton. RNAcentral's name for it is "partial 16S ribosomal RNA". It matches the Rfam family "Bacterial small subunit ribosomal RNA", at positions 43 to 339 of the family's 1533-position model. The record is from RNAcentral.
CAGGCCUAACACAUGCAAGUCGAACGAAGCCUUCGGGCUUAGUGGCGGACGGGUGAGUAACGCGUGGGAACAUACCCAAAGGUACGGAAUAGCCUCGGGAAACUGGGAGUAAUACCGUAUGUGCCCUUUCACUGUAGUGGUGGGAGGGGAAAGAUUUAUCGCCUUUGGAUUGGCCCGCGUUGGAUUAGGUAGUUGGUGGGGUAAUGGCCUACCAAGCCGACGAUCCAUAGCUGGUUUGAGAGGAUGAUCAGCCACACUGGGACUGAGACACGGCCCAGACUCC